Long non-coding RNA from Hypanus sabinus (Atlantic stingray), 6467 nucleotides. RefSeq lists it as uncharacterized. The transcript has 3 exons. The record is from RefSeq and is a predicted model, not a curated record. Lineage: Eukaryota; Metazoa; Chordata; Chondrichthyes; Myliobatiformes; Dasyatidae.
UCAUAGUGUAUAUGUUUUAAUUACUGAUCACCAUACACUUAAACAUCAUUGUCACAUUUUCCAACAGACAACGCAUGACAUCUUAAAUUUGUUCAUUAAAAGUCACUGCAUAAUACAUUAAUACGUCUGUAGAAUUUGCUUCAAAGCAGAUUUACUUCACACUGCAUCCCCCAAGUACAGUGACCAGAGUACAGGGAACUAACCAAGGGCAUAGCAAGUUGGUAUAGUUUUAGCUGACUGCUGGUCACGGCCAUGCACUGGUCACAGGCAGACCUCCUAUCCCAUACAGAGUGACGUAUACAGCAGCAGGAGCAACAUGCCGACAGCCCAGAAGGGCAUGAAACUCAGCAGUAUUCAACAGAUUUGGGAAGGGGGCGUGUGGGUGAAAUCUAAAUAAUAAAUAAAUUGAAUACAGGAGGUAUUACAUGUUAGGGACAAAAUUAGAACUUGGAUAGGACUUCAUAAACUGCAUGAGCACUAAAGAAAUACAAAGAUACUAGAUAACUAUGGGAUUUUUAAACUUAGAAAGUAUGUCCAGUUGUAUUCCUUUAUAUACAAAUUGUAACUAAUUUCUGAGGUUUGGGAACUGCAUCAGUUCAUUGUAUAUCACAGAGUACUUCAGUGUUUUAAAAAUCACUAGUUCCCAACCUGAGAAAAAGACCAUGCUUCUGGUUUAAAACUUCCUUUUCCAUGUUUUCUUUAUGCAGCAUCUAGUUUGAUCUUCAAAAAAAAAAAUGCACAUCAGCUGCCCUGACUGCCAAGUUCUGCUACCAGUCCCUGACAAUCCACAAACUGCCCCAACUCUGACAAUUAAGCAUUCUGUGCCCCUGUCAGUCAUUAGUGGGGCAAGGAACAUUUCAUUAAGUGUGAAUAAGUGGGACUUUCAAUCAGUUCAGAACCAUUGACUUUAAUUAAUGAACAAUACUGAUAAUGUAGGAGAAUAUUUUAAAAAUGCAUUUAUUACCUUCCCUGGAUUGAAAUGCAUACACAAAUUGUGGUACCAUUAAAGGUUAAAUAUUGGUAUGCACCAUUAACCUUCUAUACUUUUACUACACUGAAAAUUCAAAUGCAUUACUACAACUCUACAAUAGACAUAGAGAAUGUCCAAGGAAAACUUCAAGUACUGGUUUUUCAAUUAAUUGAAAAUGGAAGUGUGCAUUUUCAGCAGACAGCAAGAACUCAUGCACACAGAGGCAAGGUUAAUAGUUUUAAAAAAACUGAAUCCAACUGAAAUAAGAGUUCCAAUUCCAACAGCUCAUUCAUGCACAACAAAUCUGUCAAGAGAUCAGUUUUCAGCUCAGCAUUCUUUGAUGCAAAAUCUCCAUUACAAUCCAUAUAUGGAAGCACUCAAGCAUAACACAUCAUUGUUCCCUUUCUGCUGAGAUUCCAGGUGGAAGUUACAGCAAUGGUGUACAUCUUGGCAUUGUCUCCAGUAAAUCAUCAUCCUUUAGAGUGCAUUAGAGAUGCUGCACAGCUGCUGAAAUACGAAAGCCUCCACUGAAUGGAGGUGUGUUUGCAAGGGAAAUAGCUCUAUUGGCAAUUUCUGCUGAAAUGUCAGAGGCAUUAAAGAAAGGUAAUGCCCAAAUAAGGUAAACAUCCACAGCAAGCUUAAUAUGAGGUGAUCCAACUAGCAAAGAUGUUACUUCUCUCGUUGUCAUUCUGGAUGGAAGGUUUUAUCAAGCACAAUUAACCAGCAUUUUAAUUACAAAAUGAUUUGCAGGUUUCACAGAAAAUAAAUAAUUACAUUUGAUUUUAUCACUCUUAUAGUUUACUCUAUUUUACAGAGAGAAAAUUUCAAACUAAUGGCACAGUGAAUGACAGCUCCACAUGGGAGGUAUAUUGUACAUUGGCUGGCUCAAGACUGUGUACAAGAAAUACAAAUAUCAGAAAUGGGACAGAAUUUCUGCACGAGACCUUGGGAGAAAAGGAAGACAUCUGAAAGACAAACUGGGUGGGAAGACAACAGCUUGGUGAAAGCGAAGAAUGAAGAUCAAGGCAGAUGUGAACAGGUGGAACAAGGCAGGGAUUCAGGAUUACUCUGGUCUUAUAACAUUAUUAUACACUGCAAUGGACAAAACCCAAUCACAGGAAUCCAAUGAACCUCGUUGAAGUACAUCUUUCUUUUAGCAGGGAGGCCAGGCCUGAACACAGUUUUCCAAGUGCAGUCUUUUCAAGAUAAGUCUUUGUUACUUUUGUACCUAAUUCCUCUUGCAAUGAAAUCAUUUGCUUCAUUGAUUGCCUGCUGUUAAUGUACCUGAACUUUCAAUGAUUUGUGUUGGAAGUAAAGAGUAAAAGUAAAGUAAAUUCAUUAUCAAAGUACAUAUAUGUCACCAUAUACAACCCUGAGAUUCAUUUUCUUGGGGGUAUACUCAACAAAUCUGAAUAACAUUAACCAUAACAGAAUCAAUGAAAGACCGCCCAACUGAAGUAUUCAACCAGAGUGCAGAAGGCAACAAAUCGUGCAAAUGCAAAAAGAAGAAAUAAUAAUAUAAAUAAAUUAGCAAUAAAUAUCAAGAACAUGAGAUGAAGAGUCCUUGAAAGUGAAUCUAUUGGUUAUGAGAACAUUUCAAUGAUAGGGCAAGUGAAGUUUAGUGAAGUUAUCCCUUUAUGUUCAAAAGACUGAUAGCUGAGGGAUAGUAAUUGUUCCUGAACCGAGUGGUAUGCCUCCUGAGGUUCUUGUACCUUCCUAGUGGCAGCAGUGAGAAGAGAGCAUGGCCCUGAGUGGUAGUGUCCCUAAUAAUGGAUGCUGCUUUCCUGCGAUGACGUUUCGUGUACAUGUGCUCAGUGGUUGGGAGGGCUUUAUCUGUGAUGGAUUUGGCCGUAUCCAUAACUUUUGGUAGGAUUUUCUAUUCAAGGGCAUUGGUGUUGUGUAUCAGGCUGUGAUGCGAUAUACUUUGCAAUACACAUCUGUAGAAGUUGUCAAAGUUUUAGGUGUUAGGUUGAAUCUCCGCAAACUCAUAAGGAAGUAGAGGUGCUGCUGUUCUGUCUUCAUAAUUGCACUUAGUGCUGGGCCCAGGACAGGCCGUCUGAGGUAGUAACACCUAGGAAUUUAAAGUUGCUGAUCCUCUCCACCUCCGGUCCUCUGAUGAGGACUGACUCAUGAAUCUCUGACUUCCUUCUCCUGCAGCCUAUAAUCAGUUCCUUGGUCUUGCUGACUCUGAGUGAGAGGUUGUCGUUAUGACACACUCAGCCAGAUUUUCAGUCUCUCUCCUAUAUGCUGAUUCAUCGCCACUUUUGAUUCGGCCCAUGGCAAAGGUGUCAUCAGCAAACUUGAAUAUGGCACUGGAGCUGAGCUUAGCUGUAAAACGACUAGAGCAGGGGCUAAGCCCUCAGCCUUGUGGUGUACUUGUGCAGAUGAGAUCGUGGAAAUGUUGCCAGUCUGAAAUGACUGGGGUCUACAGGUGAGGAAAUCCAGGAUCCAAUUAGAUAAGGAGGACAUGCAGUUUCCGCUUAAUGCCGAUCUAUGAGCAGUUGCGGGGACAGGUGGACCCUGACGUGCCAGCGGGACUGGCAGCUUGCCAGCCAUGCACAGUAGCAAGAGGAAUGUUGGAAGAGCAACGGUAAGUGCAGAGGAGGUGUCACCCUGAGGAAGGACUGUAGAUUUGUAUUUCUCUGAGCUGGUGCCUCUCCUAGAGGCAGAAUAUCAGAAUCCCUGGUAAUCUGCUGGAGUAUGAUCACCCCCUCAGAGGUCCCUCUCCACUACUUCCAUGCUCUGGGUUUGUAGGAAGCUAUCCAUUGCCACUGCAAAACUACAACAUUGGGUGACUUCUGUCUCAAGAUGCUGUGACAUCAGCGAUUGGCUGCUGACCCUUAGCUGGGUCUGUUCAUCUGAAAUUGACUAUCGCCCUUGUCCUGGGAAGGAUGAACUGCAGCUUCCUCACAGGACUGUGUGCAAGGUCACAAUUAAACACUCCCAUGCUCUCAGACAUUUCAGUCAGAUAUUCAAUGCCCUCAGCCUCUGGUACAAUGGCUUUCAUGUGUGAACAGCCCUAUAAUCAUUCAGAGCUGUACAAUGCUGCAAUAUUUAGACACUUUGGGCCAUCACAAUAUACAGAACUACCCUCUACUAACCCAUAGUAACAAGGUCUAUUCCAUCUCUUCUGGCCAUCACACAAAAUUUGACCAUGGCAGUUUGCAACAAGAUGGCUGGUCAAGUUCCCCUUCUUGUGAACAUUUUGCCAUCGUAAAGAAUGAAUGUUUACAAGUGAGUCUAUCGCAAUCUCAGAACUUCCCAAAUACGUUUUGCCCACGUGGACAUUGUGGUAGAUUUGAAGAAUAUAAUCUGUAAUGUAGGGAAGCACAGAGUAAUAUCUAGAUGCAAGGCAGGAUAAUGGAAGAUUGAGAGAGAGCAUAAAAUCAAGGCAGAGGGAGCCUGGAAAGUGGAAAAGUAAAUGAGAAUGAACAAGUGUAGAGUGUGAGUAAUGGACCUGUGUUCCAAUAGCUUUUUACAGUGAAAUUAUUUAUUUAUUUUUGACUUGGAAAUACAUUAUAAAAUUAAAAUAGAGUUAAAAACACCAAAUUAUGGAUGUUUGUUCAUUAUGUGCCAUGCUGUGUGUCAUAGGUGACCAUGGUCUUUCCAUGACCAUGAUCGUUCUUGGCAAAUUUUUCUACAGACUUCUGUCUUGCUUGCAGAACAGACACAAGCCACCCAUUGUCACCUUUUGGGCAGUGUCUUUACAAGGUGGGUGACCCCAGCCAUUGUCAAUAUUCUUCCGAGAUUAUCUGCCAGGCGUCAGUGAUCACAUAACCAAGACUUGUGACAUGCACCAAUUGCUAUACGACCAUCCACAAACUGCUCCCAUGGCUUCAUGUGACCCUGGUCAGAGAGGCUGAACAGGUGCUACACCUUGCCCAAGACCUGCUGGCUAGUGGAGGGAAGGAGUGCAUUACACCUCCUUUGGUAGAGACAAAUCUCCACCCCACCUCUCAAUGGAUGUGAUUAAAUUCAGAAUAUUAAACUAAUGCUUUGGGGAAAUGUGAUAAAAUGUGUUCACAAUUUGAUGUAAAUGUAUUAAGUAGUGGGCUCCAGGAGAAAAUUAAAUUUCGGAGUAUUUAAAAGCUGGUGUCAGCCAUGGUUGAUGUUAAAUUUUGCUAUUAGAACAGGAGCAGAUGUAAGUUAUUCUUAUUGUUGCUGCACAAAACUAUUUUGCUAUAAUUUGUGCCUCCCUCCAGCCACAGGAGGUCACUAAGAUGCAGUAUUUAGUAUCUACUCAACGUUUUGCUGGGACUGUCAUAUUUCUGCUCUGAGUAUCGACAUUAAAUCUCUUUUACUCAACAUCAAAACACAACUCUGAGCAAAGCAGAGCAUCUCUUGGCAAAACACAUUUGAAAAUUCUACGUGACUGGAAUUAAGAUGUUAAUCAUAAAAGAUGUUAAAGUUCCUACUAACCAAGCACCUGAUAAAACAUUAACCGACAGAAAAUCUGUUUUAAAAGCAUCGGCAAAUAUGGUUUUAAUAUGUAAAUAUUUUGCAAUCAGUGAAAGCCAGGGUUAAUUGUAGUUUGCAAUGAACAAAGAAGUAUAAUUUGAACAGGAGUAUGAGGAUACACACUCAAUAUUUUAGGGCCAGCUUCUCCCCCUCUGCCAUCAGGUUUCUUGACAGUCCAAGAAUCCAUAAACACUACCUUACUAUUUUGCUCUCUUUUUGCACUAUUUACUUAAUUCAAUAUAUUAUUGUAACCCAAAGUAAUUUUUAAUUUAUUGCACUGUACUGCUGCCACAAAAUUUCACAACAUAUGUCAGUGAUAAUGAGCUUAAUUCUGAUAGCCUAUUCUUAAGUAUCAACCUAAUACUCUAUUCAUCGGUUUCAAUGGUGCAUUGCCUAACCUCAUAACAAUUUGAGUAAAAUAUUAAAGGCAACAUAACAAUUCAAUACAAGUGGAGGUGCUGCUUCACAUUCAGUAACCUGGGUUCUGUCCGGUGUGUCUGGUUGGAGUUUGCACGUUUUCAUUGUCCCCAUGUGGAUUUCAUCCAGGACCUUUGGUUUCCUCUCACUACCAAUAGUUGAGGAGGAUAGGAUAGUAGGUAACUGGUCACUGUAAAUUACCCCUUGUGAGUAGGUGAGCAAUAAAAUUUGUGGACAGGGAGGUGGAGAGCUUUUGGGAAUGUGGGACCAACAGGUUACAGAGAGGAUUGUGCUCCAGGAUUGCUCUGUAAACUGACAUGGAUUCAAGGAUAUUCCUUCUAAGUCAUAAAAAAUAUGGGCAACAUUUUUCUGACUUUAAUACUCUGCAGGUUAGACAGAAAGUGUAGGACCAAAAUGUAGUCAAUGCUUCAGGUCAAUGACACUUCAUCAACAACACAAUAUUCACUGUGCUAAAGAAAGCAGGCUCAAUUUUUCUAGUUAUUUUAUACCAAUAUUAGUUCUAGUUAUUUUAUUAUUUUGAACCAGCUUUUGUCUUCUCUGUUACAUGAACAUUCUAGAGCAGGGGUACCUCACCUGGGGUCCAUGGACCCCUUACUUAAUG